RNAcentral lists this ribosomal RNA (254 nucleotides) under uncultured bacterium. RNAcentral's name for it is "partial 16S ribosomal RNA". It matches the Rfam family "Bacterial small subunit ribosomal RNA", at positions 524 to 776 of the family's 1533-position model. The record is from RNAcentral.
UACGUAGGGUGCGAGCGUUAAUCGGAAUUACUGGGCGUAAAGCGUGCGCAGGCGGUUCGUUGUGUCGGCGGUGAAAGCCCCGGGCUUAACCGUGGAAGUGCACUCGAAACUGCAUAGCUAGAGUCCUGGAGAGGAAGGUGGAAUGCUUGGUGUAGAGGUGAAAUUCGUAGAUAUCAAGCGGAACACCGGUGGCGAAGGCGGCCUUCUGGACAGUGACUGACGCUGAGACGGCGAAAGCGUGGGGAGCAAACAGG